This 97-nucleotide ribosomal RNA is filed under the name Cronobacter sakazakii. The record is from RNAcentral. Lineage: Bacteria; Pseudomonadati; Pseudomonadota; Gammaproteobacteria; Enterobacterales; Enterobacteriaceae. RNAcentral also lists the same sequence under 1 other name.
UGGUCCCACCUGACCCCAUGCCGAACUCAGAAGUGAAACGCCGUAGCGCCGAUGGUAGUGUGGGGCCUCCCCAUGCGAGAGUAGGGAACUGCCAGAC